GCCACCAUCGUCUAGCGGCUAGGACGCCAGGUUCUCAUCCUGGUAACAGGGGUUCGAUUCCCCUUGGUGGUACUA
Molecule: transfer RNA, 75 nt
Filed under: Candidatus Moraniibacteriota bacterium
Lineage: Bacteria; Candidatus Moraniibacteriota
Description: Candidatus Moranbacteria bacterium (sediment metagenome) tRNA-Glu
Rfam family: tRNA
About the family: Transfer RNA (tRNA) molecules are approximately 80 nucleotides in length. Their secondary structure includes four short double-helical elements and three loops (D, anti-codon, and T loops).
Source: RNAcentral